AACGCGAAGAACCUUACCAAGGCUUGACAUCCCUCUGACCGAUUUAGAGAUAGAUCUUUCCCUUCGGGGACAGAGGUGACAGGUGGUGCAUGGUUGUCGUCAGCUCGUGUCGUGAGAUGUUGGGUUAAGUCCCGCAACGAGCGCAACCCUUAUCUUUAGUUGCCAGCAUUUAGUUGGGCACUCUAGAGAGACUGCCGGUGACAAACCGGAGGAAGGUGGGGAUGACGUCAAAUCAUCAUGCCCCUUAUGUCUUGGGCUACACACGUGCUACAAUGGUUGGUACAAAGGGCUGCAAGCCAGCGAUGGUUAGCCAAUCCCAUAAAGCCAAUCUCAGUUCGGAUUGUAGGCUGCAACUCGCCUACAUGAAGUCGGAAUCGCUAGUAAUCGCAGAUCAGCAUGCUGCGGUGAAUACGUUCCCGGGCCUUGUA
Molecule: ribosomal RNA, 428 nt
Filed under: uncultured Bacillota bacterium
Lineage: Bacteria; Bacillati; Bacillota
Description: bacterial SSU rRNA
Rfam family: Bacterial small subunit ribosomal RNA
Source: RNAcentral